Melopsittacus undulatus (budgerigar) is the source of this 4704-nucleotide long non-coding RNA. RefSeq lists it as uncharacterized. The record is from RefSeq and is a predicted model, not a curated record. The transcript is spliced from 3 exons. NCBI's taxonomy places the organism in Eukaryota, Metazoa, Chordata, Aves, Psittaciformes, Psittaculidae.
UGCAUGGGGUGUUCUCAGAAGAAGGAAAUGUUGCUGCUGGUAUUUAAGCUAGAAAGGUGAACAUGCACUUUUAUGAAACAGGAGUUUAUAGGUGGAGUUUUGUUAAGGCACUUCUUUGAGUUUUGCUGUUUGUAGAAACAAGGAAGCUUACUGUGAACAGCUUUUAGGUCCAAAUAGAGGGGGUAGCAUAAAGGGUAGCAAGAAUGAAAUGUUUAGAUGAGCUAGUGAGUUUUGUGAGGUUUAUUUAUUUAUCAAGCUCUUCAGAAAUAUCCUCUGGCCUCCUGAACAGCAGCAAAGUAUUAGACUUACAAAUGUUUUUUCUGGAGUUAUGCAAGUCUCUUGCAGAAAAGGUUCAAAUGGAAGUGGUAGGAUUGUUAGAGGAGGCUCCAGAAACAUCUCUCAGGGUGAAGUAGCUUGGGUCUGUCCUUCUUUAGUCAUGGUCAGGGUGACAUUUUCAAGGUGCCUCCUGGCUUAAUGUUUCUGUGAUGGGACAGAGCUACCAGAUACACUGAAACCUUCCCUGCUGAAGGAAGGUAGGCACCAUGGCCUAUGGAGGUUGCCAUUAAGUUAUGGGACCCUGGAACACACGUGCCUGAUCAUCACUCUGCCAUCAAACCCUGGAAGAUUGUUGUCAUCUCCUGCAUACAGACUGCUCUGGGGCUUCCUGUCACUUUGGUUCUCCCAGGCUUGCAGGACAGUUCACUCAGCUGGAGCCCCGGCAGUACCAGUAAACAUACUGAUGUUAUGAAUGAAUUAUCCAAGGAACAUAAUGCUUCACUGCCAACCGAGAGCUAAUCCUUGAAGUUUAGUGUUAUUACACUUAACAUAUUUCAGUUGGAUCUCAAACCAAGAUGUGCAGAAGAAUUGAUACCACUGAAGGAGAUGGAUUUCUUGUCAAGAGUCUCACAAUUCCUUUGCUCCAAGGAAAUCUGAAUGAAGAAACAUUCAGUUUGGAGAUGUGCCUAUUCUACUUGGAAAAAGCUAAAAGAUGUGUUGAGGAAAGCAGGCAGAGCUAGAAAACACUGGAAAGAAAAAUUACAAUUUUUUAUUCAAAAUUUAAUUUUAUAAUUUUUUUCCAUAAGGCUUUUUUUGACAGUUGUCCAUCCAUCCUCUUUGAGAGACUUCUGGACUUUACAUCUGGAGCUCUUGCAAAUCUGCCCCUUAGCCAGUGCAGAACAGGGCAUUUGUCUUGCUUGGAUGGUCUGGGUCUACUUGCAAUUUCUAGUGGACUCCAUUGGUGGCUAUUGACUUGUGGCUUCUGAAUGCGUGACAGUAAUCCCCUUUAAACUGGAGCUCAGUAAGGUGCUGAGCACUGACAUGGGUUUUGUGUGUGCCAUCCCCCCCAAAUCCCUAAGUCUAUAUCAUAUCAUUCUAAGAAGUUACUGAGACAGCAAAAGAGGGAGCCUAAUUGCCAUAGGCUACCUGUUAUAGUCAAUGAGGUGAGUAGGGUAUUACCAAAGCAUGACUUUAACUGCCCUGUUGUACCCUUAGCUAACUUGCUUCCUGAUUUAAAAGCCUCCAUUAGAUAUAAAGAGGUGUUUGGGAGGGAUGUAAAUGCAAAGGCAGCAGGCAGAGAUGGCAUUGUAGUGGAGAGCUUCAAGCCAAGCUAUUUGCAUCUGCAGAGGGAACAUGGAAGGAGAAAGGGACUUGGCAUCACAGUCUGAGUUCAGCAGGCCAGAUCAGGGACUCUUGGGAUUGCAUGUAUGGUCACUAGAGUUAUGUUGAUAAGGAUUGUUUUGCUUUAAAAAUGGGGAUGGGAACAGUUUCAUGUAGCAAAGAUCUGCAGAACAGAUCAGUAUCUAUCUGACAGCAAUUCAUGGUCAAUGACUGGUGUUUGUUGCUAUCUGUGGUUGCCACUCUCACAUUCUUCUACCUAUUGCAGGAAGCUACAUAUCAGGAUGUACCUUUAACACCCACGGUGUGCAUGACUUGUCCUUAUAGUUUUACAUUUAUUAAAUGAUUGUGAGCAUUUGUACUCAGACUAUUAUAAAUCCAUUACUUUCCUCAGGCCACAGGAAAUGGUUUUGAAAUGUGAGGUUUUUCUACAGGGAAUUGAAAGACAAAAAUACUAAAGCACUGUACUUGGCUUGCACAGAUCAAUGUAGUGCAAUAACUGGGAAGAUGAAACAAGCUUAAAACAUUACAAAUAUGAUUGGAUGAAAGCUUAACAUGACAUUAAUUAUCGCCAAAAAAAUCUCCUAAACCACUUAAGGAAAACAAAAACCAAAAUAACAAAAAAAAAACCCAACAAAUGAAACACCCAAACAAAGAGCCUGGCAGUAAAUCAUGAAAGAGGAAUGAUGGUGUUUGCACUGGGAGCCAAAGUCUGGAUAACCUAAAUGCACAAAAGUGAGUAAAACUUCAAAUUUGGCCUUCUAUUUUUCAAUAUGAUGGAGAGGUGCAGGUAAAAAGUCUUGGGAUGGGAGAUAUCAUGAGGUUUUGAAAGUUAUUUUUCCAUUUAAACUUUCAUGAAGAUUUUUUCUUCAUCAAUAACUCUGUUUCCCUGUCAGGAAAAGAAGUGUUCCAAAAGUGAUGAUUCCUAUUUGGGAACAGAACAAUGAAGAAAAGAGAACCAAAGCAAUCUUUCGAAGAAGAUUCAAAAAUAGUCAUUAGAAUUCCUACCAGGUUCAGAAGUUGUGCUAGGUCAAACUAAAGCACCAGUGUUACCCCAUGAGCAAUGAGGUUUACCUGCAUUUUCAGGACAAUGAGUUAAUAUUUCAUUACACAUGCAGGCACAAUGUGAAGGUUAGCGAGUCUUCCUAUUUUUUUCAUGUUUUUGUAUUAAGCUGAAAAUAAAUGCUAGUGAAGAAAAAUGUUUCUUUUCCUGAAGCACUGAGCCACUGAUAGGAAUAAUUUUGGGGGGGAGGAGAAAUAGGAAGAGAGUUUAUAUCUUAGAUUUCUGUCUUUAAGUUACUUGAAUGGAUGGAAGCUUAGCCACUUGUGUUUAAAUGAAUGGACAUUACUGAAACUGUGGUCAGUCAUUUGUUCAAUUCCAAGUGAAAUAAACCAGCAAUGGUUAGUGAUGGAUGUGGAUUUCCUGAAAAGGAACAAAACAGCCUUUCCCAACAACUCCAGUCAUUAGAGGUUGUAUUCCCACAUCCCACGCGUUCAUGGCCUGGGAGCUAUGAUUCUCCAUUUCCAAUUGGGAUGCAUUCAGGGGAUAUCCAGUAUCCAGAAAUAGUUAAACCCCCUUGGUAUCUAAAUUGCCACCACAGGUUAUACACAUAGAAAGGCUUUCUUCAAACACUACAGCUCCUAAACCCGAGCUUUACAGUGUAAGGGAUCUCAAACAGAGACUUCUCUAAAUGCUUCUCAUGUAUGGGACAUGGAGCACUGGGACUCUGAACACUUUUGUAUACUUAGGGUAGAAAGCAUGAUCCUGGUUUUGGAACACAUCAGUAGUUGCAUAUAUCCACUUGGGAUCUACAAGUACUUGGUUUAGUAAGUGGCCUACACCUCCACUGUCCCUGUCUGUUGAACAAUUCAGCUACUUUGCAAAUGCACAAAAAUGUAUUUAGAAAAAAAAAAUCAGUCAAAUCGAUAAAAUAUUAUUCACUCAUCAGAUCUUCAAUCAGAUUCUCAGUGUUCCAUUCCUAAUUAAUUGCCAUCUGGUGAAGCCCUUUCUCUCCCAGAGCAGCAGGGAAUAUUCUUCUGGAGCAGACACACACAGCAGUGCUACUCGUAUGCUAACCGCUUCUGACUGGUGAUCCUAGGGAGCCUGACUGUUUGAGGCAAAUCACCUUCCCAGGGACUGCAUGAUUUAUUCCCAGCAUUUGGGUCGCAAGAGUUUUUGUAGGGAACAAAAAAAUGCUUCUACAUCAUCUACAAUGGAUCUCAUUCUAAUAGAUAACCAUUUUUUAACAUAAUAUGACUAUGGUUUAUCAAAUAAUAAGCACUCUAAAGUGCUGGGAAUGGGACCAAUGCAGCCAGUGUUGAUUCCUAUGUCCACUUUGCCAUGCCAUGAAAUUUUCAGUGGAUUGUGUGUGUGUGGAAAUCGUUGCUGUCAGUGAGGAAGAGCCUUAGUGUGCCACAGGGAAGCUGCAGACAAGUGGGUGUGACUUCUCAUAUUCUGAUCCUUAAUAUGCUACCCAAUUUUAAGAGCUGCCUAAUGCUCAUUAGGGAUGAUCAGAAAGCCAUAUGGCCUAACAAAUGUAAUACGUAGUUCAGCAUAUUGGCAGAAGGACUCCUUGUUAAUUUUGUCUCCUAUUCCACCCGCUGCCUGAUAAAGAGGAUAGUGAGGAGGCUGGUUUUACCAUGCUGAAGAGAUGACAGACUUGAUAACUUUAGUAUGGAGCAUUUCCAGUGCUUAACAAUGAAUGGCACAAGCUUUCUAAGGGGAGAAAAAAUAGGCACAGAUUUUCAAAUGCAUCAGCAGGUUGCAAAAUUGUGCUGAUUAGCCACUUGCAUAUUUGACUCAGGACAUUUGGGACUUGGGAGACCUCAAUUUAAUUCCUGUCUCUGAAACAUUUUCCCUGUUUGACCGUGGCAUGCUUUUUAACCUCUCUGUGCUUGGAUUCUCCCACUUUCUCCCUGGGAUAAGAAGAGUGUCUUGGUACACGUGUUUAUACAGAGAAAACUUGAUUCUGAACAAAGCCUCUUAGAAUAUUCCACAAUAGUGUGACAUUCUGGGCCUGUUAUAGUUACCGGUAUUUCUUCUUUGGAGACCUUGUUACUCUUUCUAUAUCUUUUCCUUGGUUUUGACAA